RNAcentral lists this ribosomal RNA (482 nucleotides) under uncultured bacterium. RNAcentral's name for it is "bacterial SSU rRNA". It matches the Rfam family "Bacterial small subunit ribosomal RNA", at positions 30 to 507 of the family's 1533-position model. The record is from RNAcentral.
UUGAACGCUGGCGGCAUGCCUUACACAUGCAAGUCGAACGGCAGCACGGGAGCAAUCCUGGUGGCGAGUGGCGAACGGGUGAGUAAUACAUCGGAACGUGCCCGGUCGUGGGGGAUAACGUAGCGAAAGCUACGCUAAUACCGCAUACGAUCUACGGAUGAAAGCGGGGGAUCGCAAGACCUCGCGCGAUUGGAGCGGCCGAUAUCAGAUUAGGUAGUUGGUGAGGUAAAGGCUCACCAAGCCGACGAUCUGUAGCUGGUCUGAGAGGACGACCAGCCACACUGGGACUGAGACACGGCCCAGACUCCUACGGGAGGCAGCAGUGGGGAAUUUUGGACAAUGGGCGCAAGCCUGAUCCAGCAAUGCCGCGUGCAGGAUGAAGGCCUUCGGGUUGUAAACUGCUUUGUACGGAACGAAACGGUGAGCUCUAAUACAGUUUGCUAAUGACGGUACCGUAAGAAUAAGCACCGGCUAACUACGUG